UGGGGAAUUUUCCGCAAUGGGCGCAAGCCUGACGGAGCAAUACCGCGUGAGGGAGGAAGGCUCUUGGGUCGUAAACCUCUUUUCUCAGGGAAGAACACAAUGACGGUACCUGAGGAAUCAGCAUCGGCUAACUCCGUGCCAGCAGCCGCGGUAAUACGGAGGAUGCAAGCGUUAUCCGGAAUGAUUGGGCGUAAAGCGUCCGUAGGUGGUUUUGUAAGUCUGUGGUUAAAGCGUGGGGCUCAACCCCAUAAGGGCCAUGGAAACUACAAGACUUGAGUAAAGUAGGGGUAGAGGGAAUUCCCAGUGUAGCGGUGAAAUGCGUAGAGAUUGGGAAGAACACCGGUGGCGAAAGCGCUCUACUGGACUUAAACUGACACUGAGGGACGAAAGCUAGGGGAGCGAAAGGGAUUAGAUACCCCUGUAGUC
Molecule: ribosomal RNA, 426 nt
Filed under: uncultured Chamaesiphon sp.
Lineage: Bacteria; Bacillati; Cyanobacteriota; Cyanophyceae; Gomontiellales; Chamaesiphonaceae
Description: bacterial SSU rRNA
Rfam family: Bacterial small subunit ribosomal RNA
Source: RNAcentral